AUGAAUGCGCAGAAAUCAUUUGGUGCUCGUUUUGGAUUAGAGGCUGCUCAGGUAGUGAUAGACCUUGUUCAAGCUAGGAACAAAGACAAGCCUAAGAUAUGUUUAGAAUCUCUUGUAAUUGAUGUCUUGGACUGCAUAGCAAACUCAGCUUUGAAUGCGAAACCUAUUGCUACACCAAAAGUUUCUUCAAGCGAUGUUCAAUCUCUAAACAACUUCUCUUUUGGCAAUAAGUUUAUUUCUAUUCACUCUUUCAUCCUUGAAAGAAACAUUGAAACUAUUGUCGAAAAGCCAUCUCCUCAAGUCCAGCACCCAAUCCCCAAUUUGAAUGAAGCUUCUACUUUUGUUGCUGGUGUUAUUUCGGAUGGGGAUUUUCUCAAUCCAGUAGUAUUAUCUAGUUCAUCUCCAGUUCCUAAGGUGUGUGUUGAGAGUGUGGUGAAUGAAGCUAAUGCGGAAGGUGCAAUUCCAAUGGAUCCUCUAUCUUGUGGAAAAAGUGCUUCUGAUGCUAUAGGUAUAUCCCCUUCAACAAUGCAGUGUCCAAUUCCUGCUAUUGGUUCUUCGCUGAUGCAUUCAGCUGGUCCUGAUAAAAAGUGCGAGCCCAAGGUUGUUGUUACUGAUUUUCAAAAACCAAGUUUUGCUGAAUUCAGUCGCUCUCUUGGUGUUCAAUCACACCCUAAAGUUUUCAUUCAACAGCACAAAGUUAAAGAGGGUGACUCUUCUUUUGGAGGACUAUCGCCUCUGGUUCCUAUUCGUUUGUCGCAGCGGUUCCACAAUGUGGUAGAUGAUGUUGAGUGCUCUUAG
This 798-nucleotide ribosomal RNA is filed under the name Triticum aestivum (bread wheat). Its description in RNAcentral is "partial small subunit ribosomal RNA". The record is from RNAcentral. Lineage: Eukaryota; Viridiplantae; Streptophyta; Magnoliopsida; Poales; Poaceae.